Molecule: transfer RNA, 77 nt
Filed under: Bdellovibrionales bacterium RIFOXYD1_FULL_44_7
Lineage: Bacteria; Pseudomonadati; Bdellovibrionota; Bdellovibrionia; Bdellovibrionales
Description: tRNA-Arg
Rfam family: tRNA
About the family: Transfer RNA (tRNA) molecules are approximately 80 nucleotides in length. Their secondary structure includes four short double-helical elements and three loops (D, anti-codon, and T loops).
Source: RNAcentral
GCGCCCGUAGCUCAGUUGGAUAGAGCGUUGGCCUCCGGAGCCAAAGGUCGUGAGUUCGAACCUCGCCGGGCGCACCA